AUGGCCCCUGCGUAAGGAUGACGCGCACAAAUCAAGAAAUGAUUAAGAUACCAGCAUACAUUGUAGAUCAGCGUGAUGGAAAAUCGAUGAAGCGGCCCAAACAUAUCUUUUACUAUUUUCUCUUGUGAACAUUUUGCAGGAUCUGAAUGAUGAUGUUAAUCGAGA
Long non-coding RNA from Hibiscus syriacus, 165 nucleotides. RefSeq lists it as uncharacterized. The record is from RefSeq and is a predicted model, not a curated record. The transcript is spliced from 3 exons. NCBI's taxonomy places the organism in Eukaryota, Viridiplantae, Streptophyta, Magnoliopsida, Malvales, Malvaceae.